ACUUUUGUUAAUUUCAUUUUGCCUAUCAGUUUGUACGAUUGUAGCUUAAUCCUCAUUGAAGAUUGAAGGUUUUUCUAAGUUUUGAAUUUCUCAUGUUUCAUCUAGGAAUGGUUAAAAGAAAAGUGAAAGGAAGAAGCUCUUUCACUAUGUUGGUUGUUUGCCAAAAGACGAAUUAUGCUUUGAAUAAUUCAUUCCACUAGCACCUAAGGAAUGAUUGGUUUUGCAGUAUUCAUUGAUUGGAUGACCAAAAAACCUCAGCUGCAAAUGAAGUUUAUAUAUUUUGAUGCCCAUAAGAAAAGAUUUUUAUAUUGAGAUGCAGUAUGGGUAUCGAGAAGUCAGAGUUGAUAAUUUUUUUCACACAACUCUCAUAUUUGGAUUGUUUGUUUUCAAUAUCUCUUAUUCAAAUGGAUGUGCAUUUGCAUAACAAAAUGGACAUAUCAGUAGCAACUUGGUAUAAAAUGCUUGAUCUAUGUGUUUUUCUUUUGGCCCAAGGGCUAUGUUGAAAUAUUUGGAGAUGAUUUUUUAUUUUUCAUA
Long non-coding RNA from Neltuma alba, 534 nucleotides. RefSeq lists it as uncharacterized. The transcript is spliced from 2 exons. Lineage: Eukaryota; Viridiplantae; Streptophyta; Magnoliopsida; Fabales; Fabaceae. The record is from RefSeq and is a predicted model, not a curated record.